Molecule: microRNA, 18 nt
Filed under: Callorhinchus milii (elephant shark)
Lineage: Eukaryota; Metazoa; Chordata; Chondrichthyes; Chimaeriformes; Callorhinchidae
Description: eshark_NOVEL_68
Source: RNAcentral
CUUUACAUCCUCUUUGUU